RNAcentral lists this small nucleolar RNA (138 nucleotides) under Erinaceus europaeus (western European hedgehog). The record is from RNAcentral. Lineage: Eukaryota; Metazoa; Chordata; Mammalia; Eulipotyphla; Erinaceidae.
CUUGCACAUUGUUAGAACUCUGGUAUUUGAGACUGCUGACUGAUGAAUUCAGUGUGGGCAAUGAACCACCUAGGGCAAGGUUUUGGCUAAUACCACAAGUGUCUCUGAGUGGAGUUUGGAAGUAAUCCUACUACAAUU